CCAUAUUUCUCGAGAACAAUAGCAUUCAAAUUACAUAAGCACAUGGAUACGCGUAAUUUUCUUCUUUAACUUGUUUUUUUAUUCGGAAAAAAAUAAUUGUGGAAUCUGCAGGAUGUGGGGGACACUACUAGCUGACUUGGUUAUUCAGAUGCUCGAGACAGACUAUGCUAGAAUCUUACGAGCAAUUUACGCAUUUGCACAGGUACUUCUCUUUACACCGAAGUCUGCAUUUUUUGUUUUGGCACAAUAUACAUGAUUUCUAUAUGGUUGUUGCACAAACACAAAGAGGGGUUAAAAAAGGAUUGUUUUGUUUUCCAGAUUCGGAUCACGAGGACAUACAGGCUACCUUGUAAAUGAAGUAACAGUAUGCUUUUCUCAAGAUUCUCAAUCUCAGUGUCCUCACGAGUUAUGUCGGUAAAUAAUGAUUAUCACGCUGUAUCAUACUCGCUUGUGGUUGAAACGAAAUUAGACGCUACUCGAAUAGAAUAGAUG
This 492-nucleotide long non-coding RNA is filed under the name Capsella rubella. RNAcentral's name for it is "long non-coding RNA (CRUB_LNC004431)". Lineage: Eukaryota; Viridiplantae; Streptophyta; Magnoliopsida; Brassicales; Brassicaceae. The record is from RNAcentral.